Molecule: ribosomal RNA, 254 nt
Filed under: uncultured bacterium
Lineage: Bacteria
Description: partial 16S ribosomal RNA
Rfam family: Bacterial small subunit ribosomal RNA
Source: RNAcentral
UACGGAGGGUGCGAGCGUUGUCCGGAAUCAUUGGGCGUAAAGGGCGCGUAGGUGGCCCCUCAAGCGUGCGGUGAAAGUCAGGGGCUCAACCCCUGAUCGGCCGUGCGAACUGGGGAGCUUGAGCACUGUAGAGGCAGGCGGAAUUCCGGGUGUAGCGGUGGAAUGCGUAGAGAUCGGAAGAACACCGGUGGCGAAGGCGGCCUGCUGGGCAGUUUUGCUGACACUGAGGCGCGACAGCGUGGGGAGCAAACAGG